AACCUUUCUGGCCUUUUGGCUUAGAUCAAGUGUAGUAUCUGUUCUUACCAGUGUGAUUACUGGUAGUCCCCCAUCGGGGGACUCAAUCAAUCACAUUAAUCUUUGCCCGCCGGCGCAGUCAGUUCUCGGGCUUGCCCUCCUGGCUGCCAAGAUGGCCCUCCCACUCCACUCCAGAGAGGCGCUGUCGGGCUUCA
Molecule: small nuclear RNA, 194 nt
Organism: Rhodotorula toruloides ATCC 204091
Lineage: Eukaryota; Fungi; Basidiomycota; Microbotryomycetes; Sporidiobolales; Sporidiobolaceae
Rfam family: U2 spliceosomal RNA
About the family: U2 is a small nuclear RNA (snRNA) component of the spliceosome (involved in pre-mRNA splicing). Complementary binding between U2 snRNA (in an area lying towards the 5' end but 3' to hairpin I) and the branchpoint sequence (BPS) of the intron results the bulging out of an unpaired adenosine, on the BPS, which initiates a nucleophilic attack at the intronic 5' splice site, thus starting the first of two transesterification reactions that mediate splicing.
Source: Rfam